GUGCCUACUGCGCAUGUGCAAAAAUUGUUCAUUCACAGGAGUCCUUCCUUUGGCGCGACGGGGGACGACAGGUGUGGCGCUGUUGGUCAACACAGUUCCCGGGAGAGAAGGGCAGAGAUGUUGGCGUUCACAUGAAGGAGUGGUCUGCUGGAGGGCCAUAAGAGAAGCCUGGAAAAGCCCCCGCUGCUUCCUUGAUGCUGCUGGUCACAGCCAGGGUGUCGUUGCACAGAGAGGAGGACACCGGCAGGUCGUUGAUCAUGCACAAAUGCCAAACAUCCGCUGGUUCCGGUGAAACAAUCUGCACCUGUGUGUGUUUGUCCACCACUUCCCUGCUUCAGCACUAUUCAGCCAAUUGAACUCCGUGGAUGGGAAGGACAAAUGGCCGUUGAUUAAGGAGACGAGGGAUUGAGAUUGCUCCAUCUGUACAGUAGACGUCAUUAAACACCAGAUGGAAAACUGAAAUAAUAAAUUCCCAAGCCGCCAAGGUCAGGUACAGAUUAUAUUGCUCUCAGACUCUCCACCUGCAGACUUUAUAUCAUGUGGGUAGCAAAACCAGAUACUGGUUUAAUGAUGCCUGCUUCACAAAGUGUCUGCGAUCAGUCGUGCUGCUCUGAUUGGACGAUCCACUGCAGAUCAGUUGCAGAAAGUUAAGAUGGCAUUUUUAUUAUUUAUGUAGAUUGUGUAAUCCUGGCU
Perca flavescens (yellow perch) is the source of this 693-nucleotide long non-coding RNA. RefSeq lists it as uncharacterized. The transcript is spliced from 5 exons. The record is from RefSeq and is a predicted model, not a curated record. NCBI's taxonomy places the organism in Eukaryota, Metazoa, Chordata, Actinopteri, Perciformes, Percidae.